This 140-nucleotide ribosomal RNA is filed under the name Ochthocelata adynata. Its description in RNAcentral is "partial small subunit ribosomal RNA". Lineage: Eukaryota; Metazoa; Arthropoda; Diplopoda; Polydesmida; Xystodesmidae. The record is from RNAcentral.
GAAGGUGGAUUUAUUAGUAAUUAUAUUUUAUUAUUGUAUAGUGAAUUGUGUAUCAACGUGUGUACAUAUUGCCCGUCGCUCUCUUUUGUUUUGAGAUAAGUCGUAACAAAGUUGGUGUACUGGAAAGUGUAUCUUUUUGU